UAGGGAAUCUUCGGCAAUGGACGAAAGUCUGACCGAGCAACGCCGCGUGAGUGAAGAAGGUUUUCGGAUCGUAAAACUCUGUUGUUAGAGAAGAACAAGGACGUUAGUAACUGAACGUCCCCUGACGGUAUCUAACCAGAAAGCCACGGCUAACUACGUGCCAGCAGCCGCGGUAAUACGUAGGUGGCAAGCGUUGUCCGGAUUUAUUGUGCGUAAAGCGAGCGCAGGCGGUUUCUUAAGUCUGAUGUGAAAGCCCCCGGCUCAACCGGGGAGGGUCAUUGGAAACUGGGAGACUUGAGUGCAGAAGAGGAGAGUGGAAUUCCAUGUGUAGCGGUGAAAUGCGUAGAUAUAUGGAGGAACACCAGUAGCGAAGGCGGCUCUCUGGUCUGUAACUGACGCUGAGGCUCGAAAGCGUGGGGAGCAAACAGG
Molecule: ribosomal RNA, 429 nt
Filed under: Gemmatimonadota bacterium
Lineage: Bacteria; Pseudomonadati; Gemmatimonadota
Description: Gemmatimonadetes bacterium partial 16S ribosomal RNA
Rfam family: Bacterial small subunit ribosomal RNA
Source: RNAcentral